This 106-nucleotide small nuclear RNA is filed under the name Zalophus californianus (California sea lion). RNAcentral describes it as "U2 spliceosomal RNA (ENSZCAG00015012974.1)". It matches the Rfam family "U2 spliceosomal RNA", at positions 1 to 110 of the family's 192-position model. From Rfam's summary of the family: U2 is a small nuclear RNA (snRNA) component of the spliceosome (involved in pre-mRNA splicing). Complementary binding between U2 snRNA (in an area lying towards the 5' end but 3' to hairpin I) and the branchpoint sequence (BPS) of the intron results the bulging out of an unpaired adenosine, on the BPS, which initiates a nucleophilic attack at the intronic 5' splice site, thus starting the first of two transesterification reactions that mediate splicing. Lineage: Eukaryota; Metazoa; Chordata; Mammalia; Carnivora; Otariidae. The record is from RNAcentral.
AUUGCUUCUUGGCCUUUUGGCUAAGAUCAUGUGUAGUAUCUGUUCUUAUCAAUUUAAUAAGAAAUUUAGUUGAUUGGAUAUAUGAUCUUAAAAUAAUUUAUUUUCU